This 76-nucleotide transfer RNA is filed under the name Halorubrum tailed phage 8. RNAcentral's name for it is "tRNA-Gly". It matches the Rfam family "tRNA". From Rfam's summary of the family: Transfer RNA (tRNA) molecules are approximately 80 nucleotides in length. Their secondary structure includes four short double-helical elements and three loops (D, anti-codon, and T loops). Further hydrogen bonds mediate the characteristic L-shaped molecular structure. tRNAs have two regions of fundamental functional importance: the anti-codon, which is responsible for specific mRNA codon recognition, and the 3' end, to which the tRNAs corresponding amino acid is attached (by aminoacyl-tRNA synthetases). tRNAs cope with the degeneracy of the genetic code in two manners: having more than one tRNA (with a specific anti-codon) for a particular amino acid; and 'wobble' base-pairing, i.e. permitting non-standard base-pairing at the 3rd anti-codon position. The record is from RNAcentral. Lineage: Duplodnaviria; Heunggongvirae; Uroviricota; Caudoviricetes; Thumleimavirales; Hafunaviridae.
UGCGACCGUAGUGUAGUGGUAUCACGGCGGCCUUCCAAGCCGCCAACGAGGGUUCGAUUCCCUCCGGUCGCAUGAG